AAGACCAUACUUUCCGGGCUCAUUUCUGUAGUUUGUUAGUAGAGAAGUUUCUCGAAAUGUGCAGAGUACCAAGUUAAGAGGUGAAGAGUAAAAACCAGAAAAGGGAGAUGAUCCCU
This 116-nucleotide small nucleolar RNA is filed under the name Zalophus californianus (California sea lion). RNAcentral describes it as "Small nucleolar RNA U3 (ENSZCAG00015021949.1)". It matches the Rfam family "Small nucleolar RNA U3". From Rfam's summary of the family: Small nucleolar RNAs (snoRNAs) are involved in the processing and modification of rRNA in the nucleolus. There are two main classes of snoRNAs: the box C/D class, and the box H/ACA class. The record is from RNAcentral. Lineage: Eukaryota; Metazoa; Chordata; Mammalia; Carnivora; Otariidae.